UGUUUUUGCAACUACAUGUCACUUUGUCCGUUAUCCUGUACUUACAUGUUUCCCCUUUCGUCUGUCACUGGAUCUGGUCUUCAGCCAGCAUGGAACAAAAGUGGGGCAAGGGUCAUUAACAACUCCGACACAGUUGUCAAGUCAACACAUCCUUCAGUGCUGUGAUUUUCUUGGUUUACACAGGAGCACAGAAAGCUGGGCUGGGGUGAGUCCUUCCACCCCAGGGGAGCUGACAUUACAUGUAUCCCACAUGGCCCUGGGCAUUCUCCACUGAGAUACCACAGCAGAGAGGACACACAGAGAUAAAGAAGUCUGGAACAGAAUGAAUCUCCCUAGGCAUCAUCCUACGCUAACAGGCAACACACCCGUUGUAAUUAGAAAAAGGCCGAAUUGAAUUUCUCAGCUAAAGACCCUAAAACCUGCGGGAUUGAUAGCAAAUGUUUGAAAUAAAUGACCGAUUUCAUCAUCACAGUGGUGUGAUCUUAUGGGUCUGAAGUAAACAUACCUCCCUGAGGACAAGUCAUAUUUGAUGCUAACUGGACUUUUUUGGUAACAUGGCAGAAGAUUCAAUGAGGACCUUAGAAAACCUUGAGGAAAUUCCCUCAGUUUCAGUGACUCCAAUAAAAUGAAAUGACUACUUAUUA
Long non-coding RNA from Oncorhynchus kisutch (coho salmon), 644 nucleotides. RefSeq lists it as uncharacterized. The record is from RefSeq and is a predicted model, not a curated record. NCBI's taxonomy places the organism in Eukaryota, Metazoa, Chordata, Actinopteri, Salmoniformes, Salmonidae. The transcript is spliced from 4 exons.